UGAUUUGGUUGAGAAUUCAGAGAAGAAACCAACCGUUUCAUCUGAUGGUAGUAGAUCGAAGAUUUUCAUAAGAAUUCGAACCAAGAACAGUAAAACUGCUGAUGAGGUUGCGGAUACAGGGGAUCAUACCUCUGUUGCUGAAGACGCCGAAGAAUCAGUGCCGAAGACGUGGAACUUAAGGCCGAGAAGAGUGAUCACUAAGGUUAAUAAUAAUGCGAUUGGAGGUGCAUCAAAGAUCGGAGGAGCUGCGGUGCCGGAUAACAAAGCUCAGCCACCCACUCGCCCUGAAUUGACUCGUAACCGGAAUAUUGUAACAACCGAGGCGAAAGUUCCAGAAAAGAAAGAGAAAGAGAAAGAAAAGAAGCAAAAGUUCUCGAUCUCGCUUGCCAAGGAAGAGAUUGAAGAUGACUUUCUUAUUCUGACAGGGUCCAAGCCCGCCAGGCGACCUAAGAAGAGAGCGAAGAAUGUGCAGAGGCAACUUGAUUUUGUCUUUCCGGGUUUGUGGCUGGCCUCCAUAACGCCUGAUUCCUACCGGGUUAAUGAUGGUCCUGCCAAGGGUUAGAUGGGACUUUGAUGUUUUAUAGUUUUGGGGCAAAUUGAAGGUGAAUGACUGCAGUUAGAAGUUUUUGAUCUCAGCUGAAGGUAUAGCGAAUUAUGAGUUUAUAAAUGUAAAGAUGAAAGGUUAACAUAUGUAUGUUGUUGUUGUGCCUUUUGUCUGGUAAAUGUGUGAGGAGCUCAGAGUUCGGCAGAGGGGUUUUAUCAUAAACUGUGUCAUGACUAGUUGCCGUUGUACAUAUGAAUCAUCAGUUGAAUGAAAGCUUCUUCAUUUUCCAAUUCUAUGAAAUGGAAAUUUCUUACAUGCGAGUUCAUGAGGUUGUUUUGCUUUUAGUUGAAGAGGUUGAAAUAUCAAAGCAAAUACAUAUCAUGUAUCUCAAAUGAUCGGAUGCAUUCUUGUUUUUCACGGAUGUGAUAAAAACAAAUUUGGAGUAAAAAUUGAUAGUAUACUGAUUUCUGAAUAAUGUGAGGGAAGUGUCAAUUUCAUGGAGUCAAAAUAAAUGUACGAGUAAUUGUCAGUUAAUCAAGUUGUGUUUGAUUGAAUAGGCUGAAUUAUAUAAACGUGUUGGGCAACCCUAAUAGUUAGGAUACACACUUGUGAUCACUCUCUAUUUUCUUUCUUUCAAGAAUGGCACUUUUAGGAGCAAAAAAGGUUGGUUUAUCAACUUCUAGUGGAGCAAUGAACAUGCCAGUCUUUAGUGAAUAAUCAAGUAAUUUUGUCUGGUUUAUACUCCUGUUUGAAGAGUGUGAGCUAGACAUGAGUCACCUUGUAUUAGGGCAAGAUCUGUCUGACUGACCUUCGAUAAAUGAAUGAUGUGUAAUUUAAGUACUUA
Pistacia vera is the source of this 1388-nucleotide long non-coding RNA. RefSeq lists it as uncharacterized. NCBI's taxonomy places the organism in Eukaryota, Viridiplantae, Streptophyta, Magnoliopsida, Sapindales, Anacardiaceae. The transcript is spliced from 3 exons. The record is from RefSeq and is a predicted model, not a curated record.